GCGCGAAAACUUUACAAUGCCGGCAACGGCGAUAAGGGGACCUCGAGUGCCAGGUUACAAAUCUGGCUGUCGUGAUGCCUAAAAAGCAUUGCAUAGCAAGGGCCGGGCAAGACCGGUGCCAGCCGCCGCGGUAACACCGGCGGCUCGAGUGGUAACCGUUAUUAUUGGGUCUAAAGGGUCUGUAGCCGGCCGGAUAAGUCUCUUGGGAAAUCCAGCAGCUUAACUGUUGGGCUUUCAGGAGAUACUGUCUGGCUCGAGGCCGGGAGAGGUGAGAGGUACUUCAGGGGUAGGGGUGAAAUCUUGUAAUCCUUGAAGGACCACCAGUGGCGAAGGCGUCUCACCAGAACGGACCUGACGGCAAGGGACGAAAGCUAGGGGCACGAACC
RNAcentral lists this ribosomal RNA (386 nucleotides) under uncultured prokaryote. RNAcentral's name for it is "bacterial SSU rRNA". It matches the Rfam family "Archaeal small subunit ribosomal RNA", at positions 339 to 725 of the family's 1478-position model. The record is from RNAcentral.